CCCUUUGGCCUGGAAUAACACGAGGAAACUUGUGCUAAUACCGGAUAAGUCUUUACGGAGAAAGCUUUAUGCACCAUUGGAUGAGCCCGCACUUGAUUAGUUUGUUGGUGGGGUAAUGGCCUACCAAGACUGUGAUCAAUAGCUGAUUUGAGAGGAUGAUCAGCCACAUUGGGACUGAGCACGGCCCAACCUCUUACGGGAGGCAGCAGUGGGGAAUCUUGCACAAUGGAGGAAACUCUGAUGCAGCGAUGCCGCGUGAGUGAAGAAGGCCUUUGGGUUGUAAAGCUCUUUCGUCGGGGAAGAAAAUGAC
RNAcentral lists this ribosomal RNA (310 nucleotides) under uncultured bacterium. Its description in RNAcentral is "bacterial SSU rRNA". It matches the Rfam family "Bacterial small subunit ribosomal RNA", at positions 129 to 455 of the family's 1533-position model. The record is from RNAcentral.